CCGCAGCCUCGCCUGUUUAACAAAAACAUGUUCUUUUGUUUUAAAUAAAAGAUUUAACCUGCUCUAUGAUUAUUAAAUGGCUGCAGUAUUUUGACUGUACAAAGGUAGCAUAAUAAUUUGUCUUUUAAUUGAAGACUGGUAUGAAUGGUUGGAUGAGAAAUAUACUUUCUUUAUUUUAUAUAAAAAAAUUGAUUUUUUAGUUAAAAAGCUAAAAUAUUUUUAUAGGACGAGAAGACCCUAUAGAACUUUACUUUGAUAUAAAUAUACUAUUUAUAUAUUUUUAAAAUUUUAUAUUUUUAUUAAAGUUUUGUUGGGGUGACAAAAAAAAUUAUAUAACUUUUUUUUAUUAAAUCAUUAAUUUAUGUUUUUUGAUCCUUUAUUAUGGAAAAUAAGAUUAAGUUACCUUAGGGAUAACAGCGUUAUUUUUUUGGAGAGUUCAUAUUGAUAAAGAAGUUUGCGACCUCGAUGUUGGAUUAAAAUAAGUUACAGGGGUAUAAUAUUGUAUACUAGGUCUGUUCGACCUUUAAAUUUUUACAUGAUCUAGUUUCCAACCGGGAGGG
Molecule: ribosomal RNA, 560 nt
Filed under: Adelphocoris piceosetosus
Lineage: Eukaryota; Metazoa; Arthropoda; Insecta; Hemiptera; Miridae
Description: partial small subunit ribosomal RNA
Rfam family: Bacterial large subunit ribosomal RNA
Source: RNAcentral